GCCUGGAUAGCUCAGUUGGUGAGAGCGUGGUGCUGAUAAUGCCAAGGUUGCAGGUUCGAUUCCUGCCUUGCAGGGG
Non-coding RNA from Podarcis lilfordi (Lilford's wall lizard), 76 nucleotides. Lineage: Eukaryota; Metazoa; Chordata; Lepidosauria; Squamata; Lacertidae. The record is from the annotation of a GenBank genome assembly.